RNAcentral lists this transfer RNA (85 nucleotides) under Bacteroidota bacterium. RNAcentral's name for it is "tRNA-Tyr". The record is from RNAcentral. Lineage: Bacteria; Pseudomonadati; Bacteroidota.
GGGUGAGCGCCAGCGUUGGAGGGCUGGGAUGGACUGUAAAUCCGUUGCUUUUAAAGCUUAGAAGGUUCGAAUCCUUCGUCACCCA